This 71-nucleotide transfer RNA is filed under the name Streptomyces sp. SID8381. RNAcentral's name for it is "tRNA-Lys". Lineage: Bacteria; Bacillati; Actinomycetota; Actinomycetes; Kitasatosporales; Streptomycetaceae. The record is from RNAcentral.
GAUCCUGUACGGUGGACUGGAUCGGCCUUUUAAGCCGCGUGUCCUGGGUUCGAAUCCCAGUGGGCCCUCCA